ACGCUCGACACCUACGGGAGACAGCAGUGGGGAAUAUUGCACAAUGGGGGAAACCCUGAUGCAGCGACGCCGCGUGAGCGAAGAAGUAUUUCGGUAUGUAAAGCUCUAUCAGCAGGGANAAAGUGACGGUACCUGACUAAGAAGCACCGGCUAAAUACGUGCCAACAGCCGCGGUAAUCUGAGCGGGCUGGCAAGGC
This 197-nucleotide ribosomal RNA is filed under the name uncultured bacterium. RNAcentral describes it as "partial 16S ribosomal RNA". It matches the Rfam family "Bacterial small subunit ribosomal RNA", at positions 328 to 539 of the family's 1533-position model. The record is from RNAcentral.